RNAcentral lists this ribosomal RNA (496 nucleotides) under uncultured bacterium. Its description in RNAcentral is "partial 16S ribosomal RNA". It matches the Rfam family "Bacterial small subunit ribosomal RNA", at positions 30 to 523 of the family's 1533-position model. The record is from RNAcentral.
AUUGAACGCUGGCGGAAUGCUUUACACAUGCAAGUCGAACGGUAGAGGGGGCAACCCCUCGAGAGUGGCGAACGGGUGAGUAAUAUAUCGGAACGUGCCCAGUCGUGGGGGAUAACGUAGCGAAAGUUACGCUAAUACCGCAUACGAUCUAAGGAUGAAAGCGGGGGACCGUAAGGCCUCGCGCGAUUGGAGCGGCCGAUAUCAGAUUAGGUAGUUGGUGAGGUAGAGGCUCACCAAGCCAACGAUCUGUAGCUGGUCUGAGAGGACGAACAGACACACUGGAACUGAGACACGGUCCAGACUCGUACGGGAGUCAGCAGUGGGGAAUUUUGGACAAUGGACGCAAGUCUGAUCCAGCCAUUCCGCGUGCAGGAUGAAGGCCCUCGGGUUGUAAACUGCUUUUGUACGGAACGAAAAGGUCUCUCCUAAUACGGGGGGCUCAUGACGGUACCGUAAGAAUAAGCACCGGCUAACUACGUGCCAGCCGCCGCGGUAA